AGUUAAAAAGCUCGUAGUUGGAUUUCAGUCUUAGCACGGCUGGCCCGCUCCCUUGAGGAGCCGAGUGCCGGUGUGUGCUGGACUUCCUUCUGGCAAGGAUCUUCUACCUCUAUGAGGCCGGGAGUGACUUCUGGAUCAUUUACUUUGAAGAAAUUAGAGUGUUCAAAGCAAGCUUACGCUGUGAAUAUAUUAGCAUGGAAUAAUAACAUAGGACUUGGGUUCUAUUUUGUUGGUUUUCUGAAUCUAAGUAAUGAUUGAUAGGGACAGUUGGGGGUGCUGCUAUUAUAUGGCCAGAGGUGAAAUUCACGGAUUCAUAUAAGGGCAACUUAUGCGAAAGCAUUCACCAAGGAUGUCUUCUUUAAUCAAGAACGAAAGUUGGGGGAUCGAAGACGAUCAGAUACCGUCGUAGUCUCAACCAUAAACUAUGCCGACUAGGGAUUGGUGGACGUUGAAUUUCCGACUCCAUCAGCACCUCAU
This 477-nucleotide ribosomal RNA is filed under the name uncultured marine eukaryote. Its description in RNAcentral is "SSU rRNA". It matches the Rfam family "Eukaryotic small subunit ribosomal RNA", at positions 617 to 1091 of the family's 1831-position model. The record is from RNAcentral.